GACGAACGCUGGCGGCGUGCUUAACACAUGCAAGUCGAACGGAAAGGCCCUGCUUUUGUGGGGUGCUCGAGUGGCGAACGGGUGAGUAACACGUGAGUAACCUGCCCUUGACUUUGGGAUAACUUCAGGAAACUGGGGCUAAUACCGGAUAGGAGCUCCUGCUGCAUGGUGGGGGUUGGAAAGUUUCGGCGGUUGGGGAUGGACUCGCGGCUUAUCAGCUUGUUGGUGGGGUAGUGGCUUACCAAGGCUUUGACGGGUAGCCGGCCUGAGAGGGUGACCGGCCACAUUGGGACUGAGAUACGGCCCAGACUCCUACGGGAGGCAGCAGUGGGGAAUAUUGCACAAUGGGCGGAAGCCUGAUGCAGCAACGCCGCGUGCGGGAUGACGGCCAUCGGGUUGUAAACCGAUUUCGCCUGUGACGAAGCGUGAGUGACGGUAAUGGGUAAAGAAGCACCGGCUAACUACGUG
This 468-nucleotide ribosomal RNA is filed under the name uncultured bacterium. RNAcentral's name for it is "partial 16S ribosomal RNA". It matches the Rfam family "Bacterial small subunit ribosomal RNA", at positions 28 to 507 of the family's 1533-position model. The record is from RNAcentral.